GUGGGGAAUAUUGCACAAUGGGCGCAAGCCUGAUCCAGCCAUGCCGCGUGAGUGAUGAAGGCCCUAGGGUUGUAAAGCUCUUUCACCGAUGAAGAUAAUGGCGGUAGUCGGAGAAGAAGCCCCGGCUAACUUCGUGCCAGCAGCCGCGGUAAUACGAAGGGGGCUAGCGUUGUUCGGAAUUACUGUGCGUAAAGCGCACGUAGGCGGAUAUUUAAGUCAGGGGUGAAAUCCCGGGGCUCAACCCCGGAACUGCCUUUGAUACUGGGUAUCUCGAGUAUGGAAGAGGUGAGUGGAAUUCCGAGUGUAGAGGUGAAAUUCGGAGAUAUUCGGAGGAACACCAGUGGCGAAGGCGGCUCACUGGUCCAUUACUGACGCUGAGGUGCGAAAGCGUGGGGAGCAAACAGGAUUAGAAACCCGAGUAGUCC
Molecule: ribosomal RNA, 425 nt
Filed under: uncultured bacterium
Lineage: Bacteria
Description: partial 16S ribosomal RNA
Rfam family: Bacterial small subunit ribosomal RNA
Source: RNAcentral